CCUACGGGAGGCAGCAGUGGGGAAUAUUGCGCAAUGCGGGAAACCGUGACGCAGCGACGCCGCGUGAGGGAAGAAGGCCUUCGGGUUGUAAACCUCUUUCAGGAGGGAAGCGGUACCUUCAGAAGAAGCCCCGGCUAACUACGUGCCAGCAGCCGCGGUAAUACGUAGGGGGCAAGCGUUGUCCGGAUUCAUUGGGCGUAAAGAGCGUGUAGGCGGUUAGGUAGGUCAGUUGUGAAAACUGGAGGCUCAACCUUCAGACGUCGACUGAAACCCCUGGCUAGAGUCCGGGAGAGGAGAGUGGAAUUCCUGGUGUAGCGGUGGAAUGCGCAGAUAUCAGGAAGAACACCCGUGGCGAAAGCGGCUCUCUGGAACGUCUGACGCUGAGACGCGAAAGCGUGGGGAGCGAACAGGAUUAGAUACCCUUGUAGUC
This 430-nucleotide ribosomal RNA is filed under the name uncultured bacterium. RNAcentral describes it as "partial 16S ribosomal RNA". It matches the Rfam family "Bacterial small subunit ribosomal RNA", at positions 338 to 795 of the family's 1533-position model. The record is from RNAcentral.